RNAcentral lists this transfer RNA (86 nucleotides) under Oikopleura dioica. RNAcentral describes it as "Selenocysteine transfer RNA". It matches the Rfam family "Selenocysteine transfer RNA". Lineage: Eukaryota; Metazoa; Chordata; Appendicularia; Copelata; Oikopleuridae. The record is from Rfam by way of RNAcentral.
GCCCAGAUGAGCUUCGGUGGUCCGGGGCGCAGGCUUCAAACCUGUGGGCGGGGAGACUCGCAGUGGUUCGAUUCCACCUUCUAGGC